GAUGAACGCUGGCGGCGUGCCUAAUACAUGCAAGUCGAGCGAACGGACGAGAAGCUUGCUUCUCUGAUGUUAGCGGCGGACGGGUGAGUAACACGUGGAUAACCUACCUAUAAGACUGGGAUAACUUCGGGAAACCGGAGCUAAUACCGGAUAAUAUUUUGAACCGCAUGGUUCAAAAGUGAAAGGCGGUCUUGCUGUCACUUAUAGAUGGAUCCGCGCUGCAUUAGCUAGUUGGUAAGGUAACGGCUUACCAAGGCAACGAUGCAUAGCCGACCUGAGAGGGAGAUCGGCCACACUGGAACUGAGACACGGUCCAGACUCCUACGGGAGGCAGCAGUAGGGAAUCUUCCGCAAUGGGCGAAAGCCUGACGGAGCAACGCCGCGUGAGUGAUGAAGGUCUUCGGAUCGUAAAACUCUGUUAUUAGGGAAGAACAUAUGUGUAAGUAACUGUGCACAUCUUGACGGUACCUAAUCAGAAAGCCACGGCUAACUACGUG
This 497-nucleotide ribosomal RNA is filed under the name uncultured bacterium. RNAcentral's name for it is "partial 16S ribosomal RNA". It matches the Rfam family "Bacterial small subunit ribosomal RNA", at positions 28 to 507 of the family's 1533-position model. The record is from RNAcentral.